RNAcentral lists this ribosomal RNA (467 nucleotides) under uncultured bacterium. Its description in RNAcentral is "partial 16S ribosomal RNA". It matches the Rfam family "Bacterial small subunit ribosomal RNA", at positions 28 to 506 of the family's 1533-position model. The record is from RNAcentral.
GACGAACGCUGGCGGCGUGCUUAACACAUGCAAGUCGAACGGAAAGGCCCUGCUUUUGUGGGGUGCUCGAGUGGCGAACGGGUGAGUAACACGUGAGUAACCUGCCCUUGACUUUGGUAUAACUUCAGGAAACUGGGGCUAAUACCGGAUAGGAGCUCCUGCUGCAUGGUGGGGGUUGGAAAGUUUCGGCGGUUGGGGAUGGACUCGCGGCUUAUCAGCUUGUUGGUGGGGUAGUGGCUUACCAAGGCUUUGACGGGUAGCCGGCCUGAGAGGGUGACCGGCCACAUUGGGACUGAGAUACGGCCCAGACUCCUACGGGAGGCAGCAGUGGGGAAUAUUGCACAAUGGGCGGAAGCCUGAUGCAGCAACGCCGCGUGCGGGAUGACGGCAUUCGGGUUGUAAACCGCUUUCGCCUGUGACGAAGCGUGAGUGACGGUAAUGGGUAAAGAAGCACCGGCUAACUACGU